This 253-nucleotide ribosomal RNA is filed under the name uncultured bacterium. RNAcentral describes it as "partial 16S ribosomal RNA". It matches the Rfam family "Bacterial small subunit ribosomal RNA", at positions 524 to 776 of the family's 1533-position model. The record is from RNAcentral.
UACGGAGGGUGCAAGCAUUGAUCGGAAUUACUGGGCGUAAAGGGCGCGUAGGCGGCCUGGUUAGUCAGAUGUGAAAUUCCACAGCUCAACUGUGGAGCUGCAUUUGAAACUGCCAGACUAGAGCGUAGUUAGGGAAAACGGAAUUCCACAUGUAGCGGUGAAAUGCGUAGAUAUGUGGAGGAACACCGGUGGUGAAGACGGUUUUCUGGGCUAUGGCUGACGCUGAGGCGCGAAAGCUAGGGGAGCAAACAGG